ACAUUACUCCCUCCGUCCCAAAAUAAGUGUCUCAAGCUUAGUACAAAUUUGUACUAAAGUUAGUACAAAGUUGAGACAUUUAUUUUGGGACGGAGGGAGUAUAUU
Molecule: non-coding RNA, 105 nt
Organism: Triticum urartu
Lineage: Eukaryota; Viridiplantae; Streptophyta; Magnoliopsida; Poales; Poaceae
Source: Rfam